GAUGAACGCUGGCGGCGUGCCUAAUACAUGCAAGUCGAGCGAACAGAUAAGGAGCUUGCUCCUUUGACGUUAGCGGCGGACGGGUGAGUAACACGUGGAUAACCUACCUAUAAGACUGGGAUAACUUCGGGAGACCGGAGCUAAUACCGGAUAACAUAUUGAACCGCAUGGUUCAAUAGUGAAAGGCGGCUUUGCUGUCACUUAUAGAUGGAUCCGCGCCGUAUUAGCUAGUUGGUAAGGUAACGGCUUACCAAGGCAACGAUACGUAGCCGACCUGAGAGGGUGAUCGGCCACACUGGAACUGAGACACGGUCCAGACUCCUACGGGAGGCAGCAGUAGGGAAUCUUCCGCAAUGGGCGAAAGCCUGACGGAGCAACGCCGCGUGAGUGAUGAAGGUCUUCGGAUCGUAAAACUCUGUUAUCAGGGAAGAACAAAUGUGUAAGUAACUGUGCACAUCUUGACGGUACCUGAUCAGAAAGCCACGGCUAACUACGUG
This 497-nucleotide ribosomal RNA is filed under the name uncultured bacterium. RNAcentral describes it as "partial 16S ribosomal RNA". It matches the Rfam family "Bacterial small subunit ribosomal RNA", at positions 28 to 507 of the family's 1533-position model. The record is from RNAcentral.